AGGACGAACGCUGGCGGCGUGCCUAACACAUGCAAGUGGAGCGACGAACCAGGCUUCGGCCUGGGGCAAAGCCGCGAACGGGUGAGUAACACGUGGGUAACCUGCCCCGAUGAUUGGGACAACCCGAGGAAACUCGGGCUAAUACCGAAUGUGCCCUCCGACCAUAAGGUCGCUGGGGAAAGGAAGCUUCGGCCUUCGCAUCGGGAUGGGCCCGCGGCCCAUUAGCUUGUUGGUGAGGUAACGGCUCACCAAGGCAACGAUGGGUAGCUGGUCUGAGAGGACGAUCAGCCACACUGGGACUGAGACACGGCCCAGACUCCUACGGGAGGCAGCAGUGGGGAAUCUUGCGCAAUGGGCGAAAGCCUGACGCAGCGACGCCGCGUGGGGGAUGAAGGCCUUCGGGUUGUAACCCUUUCAGCACCGACGAAGCGCGAGUGACGGUAGGUGCAGAAGAAGCGCGGCUAACUACGCGCUAGCAGCCGCGGU
This 486-nucleotide ribosomal RNA is filed under the name uncultured bacterium. RNAcentral's name for it is "SSU rRNA". It matches the Rfam family "Bacterial small subunit ribosomal RNA", at positions 26 to 521 of the family's 1533-position model. The record is from RNAcentral.